UGCUCUAAAAACCUCCAUCUGCUGACCCCCAGUAUGGCCUGAAUUAUCAUCAAUCUAGUAUUGUUAUGUUGUGUGCAAUGAAAAGGAGGACACAAGCAACACUGUCCUGAGGAGAGAGUCACACCACAGCAUUUGAAUACUGUCAAUGGUCUGUGUUUCAUUACCAAGUUAUCCAAAUUGACUUUGAGAAAGAACAAGAAAAAUGGCAGCCUUACUUUUGUAAAGAGCAUACAGUUGCCACAGGAUCAGCACACCUGUGUGCUCUGUCCUAAUGAGUUCACAGCUGAGGCAGAUCAGCAAUCAGAGGGAUUGGGGAUAUAGGUUGCCAGAAUGUCAGCUAUUUUGUCAAGUAGUAGUAGUGAGCUGUUAUCUCUUGUCUUUUGCCUGCCUUAUUGUAGUUCAGGUUAAGCCUCUCGGUUUUUAUUUUUAGUAAUCUUUGAGAGGGAUUUUAUUUUGUACAUUUUUUUUGUUUUUUGUAAGUAAACUUUUUUCAGAACUCA
This is a long non-coding RNA of Notolabrus celidotus (New Zealand spotty), 500 nucleotides long. RefSeq lists it as uncharacterized. The record is from RefSeq and is a predicted model, not a curated record. The transcript is spliced from 2 exons. Lineage: Eukaryota; Metazoa; Chordata; Actinopteri; Labriformes; Labridae.